Molecule: long non-coding RNA, 423 nt
Organism: Populus trichocarpa (black cottonwood)
Lineage: Eukaryota; Viridiplantae; Streptophyta; Magnoliopsida; Malpighiales; Salicaceae
Exons: 3
Source: RefSeq, a predicted model, not a curated record
CCUUUUUCUUUUUCUUAGAUUUCUUGGAUUUACCUAAAAAGAAUGAGAGGAACACGUGAGACAACACUAAAAGAACACAAUAUAAUGUUUUCAAGAGAAAUUCUGCAUAACCAAAGGAAUUGUUUAUUUACAGAUUACAACAAUCUCAAGUUCAAGAAAAAGAAACAAGCCAGAAGGGAAAAAAAAUAGAAAACAAAAGGUGGCAGCACUUUGGUGUGCAUACUCAAAGAGAGUUUUAGACAGAAAGGACAUCGUGAACAAAAUCACAGAGCUCCCAUUUUGCCAAAUAUGGUAUUUAAUCAAUUGAGAGACUGCACCAGCGAACCCAGGUAAAUAACCAUGGAAGAAACCAAGAAAUCUUCAUUAAUUGCAUCCCCCUUAUUCCGACCUAAAUCAAUGAGUAAAAUUUCACCCAAUUUAUCU